CGUAAUAAUAGAAACUAACCAGGAUUCCCUUAGUAACGGCGAGUGAACUGGGAUACCAACACACCAAUAUGCACUCUGUGCAUAAUUUAGCCCGUCGAUACUAUCCUAGCAUAUCACCGGUCUCGGCCGGUAACCCAAUAUGCGGGAAUUGUAGCAUCGUAAUAAAAAAUAUAUAUAUGCUGUGCACACACACACACACACCCAGUGCCAUGCGUACGUGACCUUGUAAACACACAGCGUCUCCGCGUUGGAAAGCAAGUAUAUAUCCUCUUUGGAUAUGCCAUAGAGUGUGACAGCCACGUUUGACUCACUCCAUGUACGCGCACACACCCAUUGCACACACAUUAUAUAUUUCUAUAACCUGAGUCGAGUUAUUU
RNAcentral lists this ribosomal RNA (377 nucleotides) under Ammonia sp. RNAcentral's name for it is "partial large subunit ribosomal RNA". Lineage: Eukaryota; Foraminifera; Rotaliida; Rotaliidae. The record is from RNAcentral.